Long non-coding RNA from Mobula hypostoma (lesser devil ray), 3107 nucleotides. RefSeq lists it as uncharacterized. Lineage: Eukaryota; Metazoa; Chordata; Chondrichthyes; Myliobatiformes; Myliobatidae. The record is from RefSeq and is a predicted model, not a curated record. The transcript is spliced from 3 exons.
CGCACAUGCGCGCAGCGUGAUCUCCGCCGCAUGUGAUGCAGUAGUUCCGGUUUAUCCAGCGCCAGUUAGUUACGGAGCUGACGGAGGCAGACCGUUCGGCCCAUUCUCAUGUUACCGACACUUGAAGUUUAAAUAGUCUCCGAUCCGAGCGCAGACGCAGUUGGCUGGAGCCCGGCGGCGGGGAGCGUGGGGACGGACACUCACCUUCUCAGAGAGUCCAGAGUCCGCUUUCCACCAGGGAGGCACGGUGACAGCCAGACCGGUUCACAACAGGACCUGGUCACAGUCAGACCGGUUCACAACAGGACCUGGUCACAGUCAGACCGGUUCACAACAGGACCUGGUCACAGCCAGACCGGUUCACAACAGGACCUGGUCACAGUCAGACCGGUUCACAACAGGACCUGGUCACAGUCAGACCGGUUCACAACAGGACCUGGUCACAGCCAGACCGGUUCACAACAGGACCUGGUCACAGUCAGACCGGUUCACAACAGGACCUGGUCACAGUCAGACCGGUUCACAACAGGACCUGGUCACAGCCAGACCGGUUCACAACAGGACCUGGUCACAGUCAGACCGGUUCACAGCCGGCGUGUCCAAGGCAGCGAAAGGCGAGCAAUAGGCCGGGAUCCAUGAAGAUCUCCAGGAAUCUCCGUCUCGGGGAGGAUGGAACAAGAUAAGGAGGACCGAUGGCGGAGUGAGGGGAGCAAGACGGUGCUCAGGGCAGGGCCGCAAGUGGACCCUUUACGGAGGGCAUUUAUAUAGAUCACAAACAGCAGCGGUCCCAGUACAGAUCCCUGCGGAACACCUGUAAUCACAGACCUCCAGCUUGAUCGUGAAGAAGGGUCUCAGCCUGAAAUGCUGGCUGUUCGUUCCUCUCCCUAGACGCUGCCUGACCUGCUGAGUUCUUCCAGCACUUUGUGUGUGUUACUUAUCUAUGGUGUCGGUUCAAGUCCCACCACAGGCCCUGUCAGUGACGAUUCCCCAGAACAGCCGGGUCACUGUUGCCUUCGCCUCUGUCUGAGUUCGGUUCACUCUCAGCGAAACCGUCAGUCACAGAGUUACAGCGGAGAGGGAGAAAUCAGCUUUAUUUGCCAGACAUGCAUCGAACAUGUAUUGUGCUCGACUGCAGACUGCUGCAACAUUCAUGGGCAAUAUUUUCUUUCAUGGGACUGUAUUUUACUGAUGUGGUUGCUUGCUCUCUAUAUGAGGUACUGUAUAUCUGCCUUUCCAGCUGUGGGUACUGUGUUUUGCACCCUGGCCCCGGAAAAACACUGUUUUGUUUGGCUGUAUUCAUGUUUAGUUGAAUGACAAUGAAGCUGAAUUUGAAGCAGUGAAAUGUGUUGUUUUGCGUCAGUGACAAACACAGGCUGAGGAUGUGCUGGGGGCAGCCUGCAAGUGUCGCCACGCUUCCGGUGACAACAUCGAAUGCUCACAACUCAUGAGCCCCAAACUGUCGGCCUCUGGAAUCUGGGAGGUAACUGGAGCACUCGGGAGAAACGCCGAGGCCAUAGGGAGAACGUACAAACUCAUCACCGACAGCUGGCACUGUAAUUCCUGAACUACCGUGCCGAUCUUCACAUCUGUCUGAGCUCAGUUCCCUCAGCAAAGCUCUGUCACAGUGUCGAAACAGGCCUUUCAGCACGUCAAGUCCACACCAGCCGUGCUUUGUUCUCCCCACACUCCCAUCGAUUCCUCCCCCACCAUCUGUUUCCCAAACUCCCAUCGACCGUCUGAUCCCCACACUCCCGUUGAUUCCUCCCAUUGACCAUCUGAUCCCCACACUCCCAUCAAUUCCUCCCAUUGACCGUCUGAUCCCCACACUCCUGUCGAUUCCUCCCAUUGACCGUCUGAUCCCCACACUCCCAUCAAUUCCUCCCAUUGACCGUCUGAUCCCCACACUCCCAUCGAUCCCUCCCAUUGACCGUCUGAUCCCCACACUCCCAUCGAUUCCUCCCAUUGACCGUCUGAUCCCCACACUCCCAUCGAUUCCUCCCAUUGACCGUCUGACUCCCACACUCCCAUCAAUUCCUCCCAUUGACCGUCUGAUCCCCACACUCCUGUCGAUUCCUCCCAUUGACCGUCUGAUCCCCACACUCCCAUCGAUCCCUCCCGUUGACCGUCUGAUCCCCACACUCCCAUCGAUCCCUCCCAUUGACCGUCUGAUUCCCACACUCCCAUCGAUUCCUCCCUCCACUGUAUGAUUCCCACACUCACCAGGAGGAAUGACUUCACUCAGAGGGUGGUGAGUGUAUGGAACGAGCAGGUGGUGGAUGCAGGUUUGGUUACAAUAUUUUAGAGAAGUUUGGAAAAGUACGUGGAUGGGAGGGGUGUCGAGGGCUGUGGUGGAGGUGAUGGCUAAAGGGACUAGACAGAGCAAUGGUUCAGUGUUGACUAGAUGGGCCAAAGGGCCUGUUUUUGUGCUUUAGUGCCCUAUGGCUCUGUGACUCUUGCUGAUGGGAUACCACGCCUCUUGUCUUAGGGCUCUGUUUCCCAAUUCCCACUGUAUAACCCAGGCCCAGACCCAACUGGACAUGAGGAAUUGAGGAUACCAUAUAAAAAAAAGCAUUUUGAACCUAUGUAACCUCUGGCUAAAAGAAUAAUUGGGACUGAAUAGAAAUUUUUGAACAGAAGUAAACUCUGCCUUCAGCAGUUAGCUAAGGCAGGCUCAGUACCAAUUCCCCUCGGUUUGCAGAGGGACAUUUGAGAGUUUGAUAACAUUGUACAUUGUGCCCUCGUUUGAGUAGGAGGAGGAGGACUCACCGAUAAGGACAGGAAGGAACAUUCAUCUGUAAUUAAGUCAGGGCCUAGCAAAGGGAAUAACUGAUAAGGACUGGACAGCACAACCUUCUGUCAUUAAGCUUUGAUUUAGCGGACUCUCUUAUCUAAGUAAUUGUGUUUUGCACCAACAGACUUGGUGGGCGUACCAAUUCAAAUAACAUCUUGCAACAGUAAUUUAUGGGGCUUACAAUGUAUAAGUAUACGGCUGUAACCGGAGAGAGUGGGCCCGCUUGUCGGAUAGUGGCAGUACUUACGUGCCUUCCCUUCGACAACUGGGUCUCAAACUCCUGCAGGAGGGUGUGCAAUAAAGUGUAACUAUAAGA